GCCUGUGCUUGUGUUGUUUAACUUCAUCGAUUUUUCUAUCACUUAAAGCUGCUAUUAGAUUAAACUUUCAGCGUUUGUCUAAAGUUGUUUAGUAGUUAGGGUUAUUUAGAUCGCUUGUUUCUAUCUAACUAAAAUUAAGGAAAGACAUUGAAGUAAUUCCAACGGUGAAUAUUCAAAAUACUAAUUAUUUAUGCUUGUGUCAAUGAUCAGUGUAAAUUUCUGAAGGUGAAAGUUGAUACACUCAUUAUUCUUAUAUUUUUAUUUAAGGUGCAAUUAAAGGAUUCCGUGACUUUGGAAGUGCUUUGGAGACAAAUUGAGCAUUAUUUGAACUUAAAAUAAAAGGAGGGGCAAAGUUGUAAUUACGCGAGCACAGAAAUUUAAUAUUUUAUUACAAUAAAG
This 399-nucleotide long non-coding RNA is filed under the name Panax ginseng (ginseng). Its description in RNAcentral is "long non-coding RNA (PGIN_LNC000884)". The record is from RNAcentral. Lineage: Eukaryota; Viridiplantae; Streptophyta; Magnoliopsida; Apiales; Araliaceae.